Long non-coding RNA from Mauremys mutica (yellowpond turtle), 1834 nucleotides. RefSeq lists it as uncharacterized. The record is from RefSeq and is a predicted model, not a curated record. The transcript is spliced from 5 exons. NCBI's taxonomy places the organism in Eukaryota, Metazoa, Chordata, Testudines, Geoemydidae.
GGACAUCCUUCUAAGGAGACAUGAAUAGUGGUCAUCUUUCUGCCUUCUGCAUAACUGGCUCUGCGCUUGCAGAGGAAUUGUCCAGGAGUCCCAGAUGGAGCAGAAACUGGAGGAGGUGGAUCUGAGCAGCUUGGACAUCCUUCUAAGGAGACAUUUAGAAUGCAGAAAGCUGAGGACUGUUCAUAACUGGCUGUGAGUAAGAGGUGCACUUGCACAGGAAUUGUUCUUCAGGAGCCCCAGCCCCGGGAGAAACUGGCAGAAGUGGACGUGAGCAGCCUGGACAUUCUUCUAAAGAGACAUGAACAGUCUAUCCUGCAUAACUACACUUCACGACUUUUAGGGGCACGGCUAAAGCCCAAGAUUAAUGCAGGGUAGAGGCUGAGUACAGACGGCUGCGUCCCUUUAGGUGGGUUUGGUUUUCCUCCUUGUUGUGGGUGCAGGAGGAGAAUAUCCCUAUCUUCUAAGCUGCUGAUCUUCCAGGACAGAGAGGAGCGGGUUCUUCUGAGCAGUGGCCUGCAACCAGGAAGAGGGAUCGUCCAGGAGCCCAGACAGCGGAGAAACUGGAAGAAGUGAACCUGAGCAGCCUGGACAUCCUUGUAAGCAGAGAGGAAGAGUCCUCAGCUUUCUGCCUUCUCCAUGACUGGCUUACCACAGACAAAGAAGUCAAGGGUAAGAGCCCACCCCCGUUUUGAGAUGUAAAGUGCACAAGAGCCGUGAGACAGUGAGCGUUGUUGAUGCCAGGCUAUGCAGAUGCCAUCGAGCUGGGAGUGGAGCAGACGUCACCAUCAGUGAGAUAAGUGUCUGGUUCGGUGAAGACUUUGCUAACGGCCCACCUGCCUCCAGGCUGGGACUUGUCGUUAGCUGGGGCUUGGUUUGUAAGAAAAGGUUCCUGAGUAGCUGUGGUUAGGAAGGAGACAAGGUCCCCAUUUCAGGGGCUGCUCAUUUCUCUGUCCAUAAAUGGUGUGUCCUCUCUAGCAGUCAGGGCUGGCUCCAGGCACUAGCUUAUCAAGCAGGUGCUUGGGGCGGCAACUCCUGAGCAGGGCGGCACUUAGAGGUAUUCGGCGGCAAUUCGGUGAAGAGUCCCUCACUAGGAGCGAAGGACCUCCCGCUGAAUUGCCACAGAUCGCGAUCGUGGCUUUUUUUGUUUUUUGUUUUUUUUGGCUGCUUGUGGCGACAAAACCCCUGGAGCCAGCCCUGCUAGCAGUAGGUUCAAUCCAAGGGGAUGACUCCAGUUUCUUGCCUUCCUCCUGUUUUUUUUUUUUUCUCUCUCUUCUAAUGUGUUGGCCAACACUCUCUCCCUGUGUCUAUCUUUCUCUGUCCUUUCCUCUCCUUGUGCUGUUUCCCUUCAUAGGACAUGGGCAGUGGUGCUAGCUGUGCAUCCCCACAGGCUAGGUCUCGGGAGUAUGAAGAAGUAGGAGGGGAUGAAAAAUCAUGCUGGACAGUGGGUGUGAGAAUGGAGCGGUGACUCAGUGUUUACUCGGUCUGUAUUCAUUGAGUGGAUUUCACGCACCAAUAGAGCUGUAUGUAGUGAUGUCUCAUGCUUGGCUUUUGCAGCUGUGCUUCUAGAGGAAUCAUGGAGGAGCAGCAGCCGAAGGAGAAGGUGGCAGACGUGGACCUGAGCAGCUUGGGCAUUCUUCUAAGCAGAGCUUAACAGUCCUCAGCUUUCUGCCUUGCACAUAACUGGCUGUGACUAAGCGAUACUGUAUUCAAAGCACUGAACUCCUCACUUAAAGUCGCCCCGGUUAACGUUGUUACAUUGCUGAUCAGUUAGGGAGCAUGCUUGUGUAACAUUGCGCAAUGCUCCCUUAUAACGUUGCUUGGCAGCUGCCUGGUU